AUCCAGCUGACGAAUCCUAAAUAGGACGAAACGCGCAUCCUGGAU
Schistosoma haematobium is the source of this 45-nucleotide non-coding RNA. Lineage: Eukaryota; Metazoa; Platyhelminthes; Trematoda; Strigeidida; Schistosomatidae. The record is from Rfam.